This 640-nucleotide ribosomal RNA is filed under the name Thaxterogaster herpeticus. Its description in RNAcentral is "eukaryotic LSU rRNA". It matches the Rfam family "Eukaryotic large subunit ribosomal RNA", at positions 1 to 626 of the family's 3401-position model. The record is from RNAcentral. Lineage: Eukaryota; Fungi; Basidiomycota; Agaricomycetes; Agaricales; Cortinariaceae.
UGACCUCAAAUCAGGUAGGACUACCCGCUGAACUUAAGCAUAUCAAUAAGCGGAGGAAAAGAAACUAACAAGGAUUCCCCUAGUAACUGCGAGUGAAGCGGGAAAAGCUCAAAUUUAAAAUCUGGCAGUCUCUGGCUGUCCGAGUUGUAAUCUAGAGAAGUGUUAUCCGCGCUGGACCGUGUACAAGUCUCCUGGAAUGGAGCGUCAUAGAGGGUGAGAAUCCCGUCUUUGACACGGACUGCCAGGGCUUUGUGAUGCGCUCUCAAAGAGUCGAGUUGUUUGGGAAUGCAGCUCAAAAUGGGUGGUAAAUUCCAUCUAAAGCUAAAUAUUGGCGAGAGACCGAUAGCGAACAAGUACCGUGAGGGAAAGAUGAAAAGAACUUUGGAAAGAGAGUUAAACAGUACGUGAAAUUGCUGAAAGGGAAACGCUUGAAGUCAGUCGCGUUGGUCAGGGAUCAACCUUGCUUUUGCUAGGUGUACUUUCUGGUUGACGGGUCAGCAUCAAUUUUGAUCAUUGGAAAAAGAUCAGGGGAAUGUGGCAUCCUUGGAUGUGUUAUAGCCCUUGGUUGUAUACAAUGGUUGGGAUUGAGGAGCUCAGCACGCCGCAAGGCCGGGUUUUACCACGUACGUGCUUAGGAUGC